This 247-nucleotide ribosomal RNA is filed under the name uncultured bacterium. RNAcentral describes it as "partial 16S ribosomal RNA". It matches the Rfam family "Bacterial small subunit ribosomal RNA", at positions 57 to 305 of the family's 1533-position model. The record is from RNAcentral.
GCAAGUCGAACGGCGGCACGGGUGCUUGCACCUGGUGGCGAGUGGCGAACGGGUGAGUAAUACAUCUGAACGUACCUUAUCGUGGGGGAAACGCAGCGAAAGCAGUGCUAAUACCGCAUACGCCCUGAUUGGGAAAGCGGGGGAUCGAAAGACCUCGCGCGAUUGGAGCGGCCGGUGCCUGAUUAGCUUGUUGGUGGGGUAAAAGCCCACCAAGGCGACGAUCAAUAGCUGGUCUGAGAGGAUGAUC